This 523-nucleotide long non-coding RNA is filed under the name Mus pahari (shrew mouse). Its description in RNAcentral is "RIKEN cDNA 2610303G11 gene (MGP_PahariEiJ_G0004307.1)". The record is from RNAcentral. Lineage: Eukaryota; Metazoa; Chordata; Mammalia; Rodentia; Muridae.
AUUUCUCAAAGCUCAUCAUCUGACUGCUUGUCUGACUGCACAAGCAAGCCGGAGACACCUGGCCUUGGCAGGCUGCAUUGCUCCCCUCUUCUCAUAUGUCUCAGCAGCCAUUUCGGGCAAAUUACCAGGGCAGCUGCUUGGGGCUGGCAGCCCCAGGAGGCCAGCUUCAGUAGGAUUCAGAGAGACUACCUUGCCACGGAGGGGGGCAAGCGCAUAGCUACAGGUGUUCUGGAAGAAAGCAGCCAGGACUGUUGUCAGGGAGCAAAUGUGCUGUGAAACAGACUGAAGAAGAAGAGGAGGGGGCUUGGGGUAAGAAACAGAAACCUUGGUGUAGGACAGACAUGGCUCUGAGUCCUGCCGCAUUCACCUCCACGGGAGGUGCUGUAGCCUAGUCAUGGAGUCUUGUUUUCUUUAUUGCUCUAUGGACAGGGUGGUAACCUGCCUCACAGGGAGAACCUAACAGCAUGGCAGUGAUGUUCCAUAAAGGCGCUGCUAUGACUAAUAAAAAUGAUGACUUUAUUUU